GAAGUGGAAAUAUUAUCUACUUUAUUAUUGGGUGUGGUAAAGCAGUCAGACUGUCCUCAGCUGCCAGCCAGUAGCAGAGGCACAGUGUGCCUUGUUCUUAGGGGAUGGGAUGUUCUUAGGAUGAAGGGAUGCUGUGUUUUGUUUUGUUCUCAUCUAUUUUCUCUUAACCCCUUACCCCCACACACUAGUGUCUGAAAUGCAACUUCUGUUUCCCUUCCUUUGCAAAUAAUGGGGAAGUAAGGCCUUGUCACCACCCCUCCAGGGCUGUUCUCAGCUACACAGAUCAUCUGAGAGACGCUGUCAUGCCGUGGUGGCUAGUUUCAUUUGUCAACUUGACACACUCUAGAAUCACUGUGGAAGAGUCUCAGGUUGUCAGUUGUCUGUGAAAGUUUGUCUUAAUUGUGUUAAUCGAUGUGGGAAGACCUGUCUACUGGGGGCAGUACCAUUCCCUGGGGUUUGGACCCUGAACCAAGUGUGGGAAAAGUGAGCUGAGCCCUGACCCACUUGCAUUCUUCGUUCUCACUCUGCUCUUGACUGCUCUUGACCAGCUGCUUCAAGUUCCUGCCUCCCUGACUUACUGCUGCAACUGGGUGGACUGUAACUUGGAGUUGUGAUCCGAAAUAAACCUUUUCUGCCCUAA
Molecule: long non-coding RNA, 640 nt
Filed under: Rattus norvegicus (Norway rat)
Lineage: Eukaryota; Metazoa; Chordata; Mammalia; Rodentia; Muridae
Description: long non-coding RNA NONRATT019364
Source: RNAcentral